GAUGAACGCUGGCGGCGUGCCUAACACAUGCAAGUCGAGCGAAGCGGUUUUAAGGAAGUUUUCGGAUGGAAUUAAAACUGACUGAGCGGCGGACGGGUGAGUAACGCGUGGGUAACCUGCCUCAUACAGGGGGAUAACAGUUAGAAAUGGCUGCUAAUACCGCAUAAGCACACAGCUUCGCAUGGAGCAGUGUGAAAAACUCCGGUGGUAUGAGAUGGACCCGCGUCUGAUUAGCUAGUUGGUAAGGUAACGGCUUACCAAGGCGACGAUCAGUAGCCGACCUGAGAGGGUGACCGGCCACAUUGGGACUGAGACACGGCCCAAACUACUACGGGAGGCAGCAGUGGGGAAUAUUGCACAAUGGGGGAAACCCUGAUGCAGCGACGCCGCGUGAGUGAAGAAGUAUCUCGGUAUGUAAAGCUCUAUCAGCAGGGAAGAAAAUGACGGUACCUGACUAAGAAGCCCCGGCUAACUACGUGCCAGCCGCCGCCGUAA
This 495-nucleotide ribosomal RNA is filed under the name uncultured bacterium. Its description in RNAcentral is "partial 16S ribosomal RNA". It matches the Rfam family "Bacterial small subunit ribosomal RNA", at positions 28 to 523 of the family's 1533-position model. The record is from RNAcentral.